This is a long non-coding RNA of Patella vulgata (common limpet), 351 nucleotides long. RefSeq lists it as uncharacterized. The record is from RefSeq and is a predicted model, not a curated record. The transcript has 3 exons. Lineage: Eukaryota; Metazoa; Mollusca; Gastropoda; Patellidae.
GUUUCUGGAACAGCCAGUGGACCAUUUGCCUUAUUAGAUAAAACCGGAAAUGCUGUAAUUAUCUCCCCUUUCAGCGAAUUCAUGUCGUCAUCGCUACAUUAUAGUGGCAGUGAAAACUCCAUAAGUUGGGGUUUACUGGGAGAGGUCGAUACAGUUCCCGCCCUAUUUUCAACUGAGUAUAUAGCAUUCUUCGGUUCCGGUGGCAUAAAUCAGGCAUAUGCUGAUUGGGGACGAUUAAUGAGAGAAUUUUAUGGCAAAACAAGUGCUUAUCGAGACAGUGAUUUUACCAUCAAUUAUCUAGGGUAUUACACUGACAAUGGAGCGUAUUAUUACUACCAGACAGAAAAUAAU